This 502-nucleotide unclassified non-coding RNA is filed under the name Hevea brasiliensis (rubber tree). Lineage: Eukaryota; Viridiplantae; Streptophyta; Magnoliopsida; Malpighiales; Euphorbiaceae. The record is from RNAcentral.
UUUCUUUUUCUUCACUGCUUCAGCCUUCAAGCUCUCAUCAUGCAUGUCCUGGCUGCUUGAUUAGGGUUAUCUUCAAUUUGAACAUAAUUGAACACACUGUAAUCACCAUUNNNCCGUGGUUAGGUUUUUCUUCUCACGUGAGAAUGCCCGCCACUGAUUAUCAGGGAUCAUCAGCGUCUUUUGGUCGUUCGAUUUUGAGCUUCCGCCGUGAUCAGGUUCAUUCCAUGGAAGCCACGCAUGAGGCCUCCAGUCACGAGCUGGAGCUCGAAGCUUUUCAAAGGAAGGUCGCUGACCGGUUCCUGGAUCUGUCUUCGGCCGGGCCGGAUGAUUUGCUUUCGCUAUCGUGGAUCCGGAAGCUGCUCGACUCCUUCAUUUCUUGUCAGGAGGAGUUUAGAGUUAUUCUGUUUAAUAACAGAUCGCAUGUUUAUAAGGCGCCUUUGGAUCGGUGGAUCCACGAGUUUUUUGAGCGGAGUGUGAAGGCUUUGGAUCUUUGUAAUGCGAU